UGGGGAAUUUUGGACAAUGGGCGAAAGCCUGAUCCAGCAAUGCCGCGUGUGUGAAGAAGGCCUUCGGGUUGUAAAGCACUUUUGUCCGGAAAGAAAUGGCUCUGGUUAAUACCUGGGGUCGAUGACGGUACCGGAAGAAUAAGGACCGGCUAACUACGUGCCAGCAGCCGCGGUAAUACGUAGGGUCCAAGCGUUAAUCGGAAUUACUGGGCGUAAAGCGUGCGCAGGCGGUUGUGCAAGACCGAUGUGAAAUCCCCGAGCUUAACUUGGGAAUUGCAUUGGUGACUGCACGGCUAGAGUGUGUCAGAGGGGGGUAGAAUUCCACGUGUAGCAGUGAAAUGCGUAGAGAUGUGGAGGAAUACCGAUGGCGAAGGCAGCCCCCUGGGAUAACACUGA
Molecule: ribosomal RNA, 396 nt
Filed under: uncultured bacterium
Lineage: Bacteria
Description: partial 16S ribosomal RNA
Rfam family: Bacterial small subunit ribosomal RNA
Source: RNAcentral